RNAcentral lists this ribosomal RNA (687 nucleotides) under Leptoplectus pertenuis. RNAcentral's name for it is "eukaryotic LSU rRNA". It matches the Rfam family "Eukaryotic large subunit ribosomal RNA", at positions 663 to 1265 of the family's 3401-position model. Lineage: Eukaryota; Metazoa; Arthropoda; Insecta; Coleoptera; Staphylinidae. The record is from RNAcentral.
GGACCAAGGAGUCUAACAGAUUGGCGAGUCAACAGAACCUCGUACUUCUUUUGGCGCAGCGAAGGCGCUAGUCGGUCGGAGAGAUCCGAUCGGCCGUUGUUUGAUCGUGAGACGAUGGAGGACAUCCGCCGCGAAUCCGUUCCGGCGGGCACACCUCUCGCAGUCUCGAGGCGGUCUCGUUCUCAUUGCGAGAGGAGCCGCACUCCGAGCCAAUAUGUUGGUACCCGAAAGAUGGUGAACUAUUCCUGAUCAGGGUGGAGUUAGGGGAAACUCUGAUGGAAGCUCGUUCACGAUUCUGACGUGCAAAUCGAUCGUCUAAGUCAGGUAUAGGGGCGAAAGACCAAUCGAACCAUCUAGUAGCUGGUUCCUUCCGAAGUUUCCCUCAGGAUAGCUAGAACUUCGUAGAGAGUUAUAUGUGGUAAAGCGAAUGAUUAGAGGUAUUGGGGCCGAAACGGCCUCAACCUAUUCUCAAACUUUCAAUAUGUGUGCACCGUUAGCUUGCGACCUGGUUGCGUUACGAAGCUAUCGGCAAAUGCGAGCACACCUAGUGGGCCAUUUUUGGUAAGCAGAACUGGCGAUGUGGGAUGAACCGAAUGUAACAGCUAGAGUGCCAAAAACGAUGUUUAUGGGAGACCACAAAAGGCGUUAGUAACUAAAGACAGCAGGACGGUGGCCAUGGAAGUAGGA